This 253-nucleotide ribosomal RNA is filed under the name uncultured bacterium. Its description in RNAcentral is "partial 16S ribosomal RNA". It matches the Rfam family "Bacterial small subunit ribosomal RNA", at positions 524 to 776 of the family's 1533-position model. The record is from RNAcentral.
UACGGAGGAUGCAAGCGUUAUCAGGAAUUAUUGGGCGUAAAGCGUCCGUAGGUGGUUAAGUAAGUCUGCUGUUAAAGCGUGGAGCUUAACUCCAUAUCGGCAGUGGAAACUACUUGACUUGAGUGCGGUAGGGGUCAGGGGAAUUCCCAGUGUAGCGGUGAAAUGCGUAGAUAUUGGGAAGAACACCGGUGGCGAAAGCGCCUGACUGGGACUGCACUGACACUGAGGGACGAAAGCUAGGGGAGCCAAAGGG